GAUGAACGCUGGCGGCGUGCCUAAUACAUGCAAGUCGAGCGAACAGACGAGGAGCUUGCUCCUCUGACGUUAGCGGCGGACGGGUGAGUAACACGUGGAUAACCUACCUAUAAGACUGGGAUAAUUUCGGGAAACCGGAGCUAAUACCGGAUAAUAUAUUGAACCGCAUGGUUCAAUAGUGAAAGACGGUUUUGCUGUCACUUAUAGAUGGAUCCGCGCCGCAUUAGCUAGUUGGUAAGGUAAAGGCUUACCAAGGCAACGAUGCGUAGCCGACCUGAGAGGAUGAUCAGGUACGCGGGAACUAAGGCAGGAUCCUGACUACUACGGCAGGAAGCAGUCGGGAACCGACCGCAAUGGACGAAAGCCUGACGGAGCAACGCCGCGGGAGUGAUGAAGGUCUUCGGAUCGUAAGACUCUGUUAUCCGGGAAGAACAAAGGUGGAAGUAACUAUGCACGUUUUGACGGUACAUAAACAGGAAGACACGGCCAACUCCGUG
RNAcentral lists this ribosomal RNA (497 nucleotides) under uncultured bacterium. Its description in RNAcentral is "partial 16S ribosomal RNA". It matches the Rfam family "Bacterial small subunit ribosomal RNA", at positions 28 to 507 of the family's 1533-position model. The record is from RNAcentral.